UGACCCCUGUGGUGUGCGUGAUGGCGAUGACAUUUGAAAGAACCGAUGCCCUCGCAAAGGGAGGUCAGGCCUUGACGGAUCGGAAACGCCUGCAUGACAGGACUUUCGGACGCAAGCAACGACUGCCCACUUUGAAUUAGAGGGUUCUUUUCAAAGGCGCCGUUCACGGCUCUUGCGGAGGUUUG
Molecule: non-coding RNA, 185 nt
Filed under: Phycisphaerae bacterium
Lineage: Bacteria; Pseudomonadati; Planctomycetota; Phycisphaerae
Description: 6S RNA
Rfam family: 6S / SsrS RNA
About the family: E. coli 6S RNA was the first non coding RNA to be sequenced, but its function was unknown until recently. It consists of 184 nucleotides that fold into an extended hairpin structure with a large single-stranded internal bulge. The 6S RNA specifically associates with RNA polymerase holoenzyme containing the sigma70 specificity factor.
Source: RNAcentral